CUUUCUUUACCAUAUGCUCAUUGAACCUUCAAAACAAUAUAAGUGGUCGACCUAUCAAGAAUAACCGCUUCAACUGACCAGAAAGAGAAAUUGAAGCUAGCAGAAAAACAGAUGAUAGACAUCCAAGAAAGAAACUUAUAUGUACAGCCAUGUCAAUUGUUGCUUCAGAAGGCCAGUAUUUUUCUGGAACUUCUUUCACCGCAACCCCAAUGCUUUUUCACACAACUGCACGGCAAUGUACUUGGGUCAAAAGCAAGCCCAAUAGAGUGCAAUGAACAUGAUCUUGGAUUAAAUUUCAUCCUAAAACCUGAACACGCAUGUUGAAUGUACCAAGUUGACAGUACGUCGCCAACUGGCCAUUUAAUAGGUAAAAAACAAAUUAGGUGAACACUCACACUUAUCUUACUACUUUAUAUUUCAUCCCGACAAUUAAUAAAAUCAAGCAUCGUCACUUUUAUUGCCUCUUGCAGCAGGUUCAUUCAUCAGAAUGUUACACACUGUAUUUGAGUCUUAUUUACUUAUUAAGAAACUGUUCUCUUAUCAAAUUCUACAAUUCUUUUGGUGAUGUGAAUUUCCAGGCCCCCACUGACUGUAACUACAACAGAACACAAUUUUCUCUUAGAGAAGAAGCAUAAAGAAACAAUCAUAGUUCAACAAAAAUCUGCGAAGCUACUAAAGAUCUGCAUACUCUGCUUCGGCCAUUUUAAUAGCAGGUAAAACUUUAGUUGUCAGGAGACCUUCAUAGUGAGUCUUCUCCAGGUUCACAUAUUCAUUGGAAGAAACUACCAUCAGUAUAUACAUGCUACAGAAGAUUGAGAGAUCACUAUUUGGAAGUACUUAUAACUAACUGGUGGCCUUGGAUGGAACGAAGAAAAUCUGGAUUUGAUUUAGCUUAUGCUACAUUAUGACCAGGUUUGUAAUCACCUGGGAGGAUUGAUCUUAGAAAAAUCUCACACCAUAUAUGUUGCUAUAGAGGCUAGUGUUGUCCAGUAGAACUGUAGUUAUCAGAAUGUACCUCAAUAGCACAUCAGUGACAUCUUAGGCAUCUACUAUGUGCUAGAAUUCGUUGUUUCCCAUUUCUCUCAGCCUCCUACUUCAGCCCAUCUACUGCGAUGUCCCCCUCCUGCGGGCAUCAACAAUCCUGUUGGUGGACUGUAAGCAGAAGAAAAAGAUUGAAACAGCUGAUCAUAUGCAAACCAAGAAGAAACAGAAUCGAAAGAAAAUUCGGGACAACGUUGUACUGAUCAGCGCAACCAUCACCUCAUAAUUGAAUUUUUGCUUGUUGUCUUCCAUAUCUAUCAUACUGUAUAUGAUAUCCCACUCCUACAAAGCUCACACCACUAUGAACUGAGAUAGUCGUACACCCAUAAGAUUUUUGCACACUAUCUUUCAAGAAACAGCAAGGCCACAAUAAUUGAUCAUGCUCAUGUCCAAACCCAGCAACUCUUCUAUUAUGCAUCAAGAUGAUUUAUAUCAACUACAAAUAUUCGCUUGUCCAUUUCAUCAGAGAGGUUAUAAGCAUAAUGCCAUUGGAAAAAAAAGAUAAGAAUGGACAGCAUACCUUUGUUAUGGUGAUGAGAGCUAAUUUUAUAGGAAAUGCACCCAGGAGACACAAGCCUCAGUCUAUAUAUGUACCUGUCAUGGCAAUAAUGUGAAGAGAAAUGAAGUUGAAUAUAACAGACCAAAUACCCAAUUGAGUAUCAAAAUAACAUAAAUUGUAAAGUAGUGGGAUGAAAAUACCAACCUGUAUUUCUUCAGUAUAGGCAACCAGUUCUAGAGCUAAUGGUACAUUUUAAGCUCGAACGUACAUACACAGCACACCUAAUUUGACUAAGUUCAACUGAUGCCGCAAAACCAGCUCCUUCA
RNAcentral lists this long non-coding RNA (1866 nucleotides) under Triticum aestivum (bread wheat). RNAcentral's name for it is "long non-coding RNA (TAES_LNC008071)". Lineage: Eukaryota; Viridiplantae; Streptophyta; Magnoliopsida; Poales; Poaceae. The record is from RNAcentral.